UGUUUAGGCGGGCGUCUAAGUGAGUGGUGAAAUCUUACAGCUCAACUGUAAAAUUGCCAUUGAUACUGGAUGUCUUGAAUUAGUGUGAAGUGGUUAGAAUGUGUAGUGUAGCGGUGAAAUGCAUAGAUAUUACACAGAAUACCAAUUGCGAAGGCAGAUCACUAACACUAUAUUGACGCUGAGGGACAAAAGAGUGGGGAGCGAACAGGAUUAGAUACCCUGGUAGUCC
This 229-nucleotide ribosomal RNA is filed under the name uncultured bacterium. RNAcentral describes it as "partial 16S ribosomal RNA". It matches the Rfam family "Bacterial small subunit ribosomal RNA", at positions 568 to 796 of the family's 1533-position model. The record is from RNAcentral.